Long non-coding RNA from Tarenaya hassleriana, 1887 nucleotides. RefSeq lists it as uncharacterized. The transcript is spliced from 4 exons. Lineage: Eukaryota; Viridiplantae; Streptophyta; Magnoliopsida; Brassicales; Cleomaceae. The record is from RefSeq and is a predicted model, not a curated record.
CCCCUCUCUUUGUCCGAAAACGGAAAACUAUAUAUAAAAGGAGAGAGAAACCCUACAUUCCUUCUUCUUCGAGUUCUUCGCCUCAGUCACAUCCAAUGCCGUCCCUAGCUUUAUCCGACAAGAAUGAGGAGCGGAAGAUGAAGGAGAGGAAGAGUCGGAGAAGAAGCGGAACGCGACGGAGAUGGCGGAAUCGGAGGUGGACGAGAGCGACACGAACUCGGAAUUAGUGGCGCCCGCCGGUGAGUUCCGUGGCGGAGAAGAGGAGGAGAAACAAGAAGGCGGAGGUCGAUGAGGAUGAGUUGGAGUCCGAGGAAGAGCAGGAGAAACCCUAACGCCGUCGCGAAGUUUCGGGUCUCGGCUCCGGCGAGGGAGAAGCUGAAGGAGAAGGGAAUUUCCAAUUCGGGAAAUGACCUUUGACAUGGUCCUGGAUGGCGAUGGUUCUGAUCUGGUCGGACGCGGUCGCACUGGCCAGGUAUUGUCGGCCAUCUUUGAAAUCUUCUCCUGUCUGAUCAUCUGGGUAGAAACACAUAUGACGGGUUCUUGUAUUGUGAAUCUCCUAGUCGAUUUUCUCCUUCACGUUUCACUAAUUUAAUCAAAGAAGAAAUGCUGCUCAAGUUCAAAGCUUUCUCCUGUAGUUUGAUUGUGAGAAUUAGAACGUUCUUCCUAUUGCCGCUAUGAUAUAUCCAUCAAAGUUUGAAACUUUCAGUCGUGUGGCAGCUGAGUGACUAUAAAUUUAUGAGGAUUCUUGUUCUGUGUAUUUUGAAUUUCUGUAUGAUGACAUUGUUCCUAUAUCAGCGGAUUUGGCUGAUCAUGUUUGGUCUUGUGCUGGGUAAAAACACGCUGGCCUUUGUGUUAAUUAGCCAAGCAGGUAUGAGAUUUCGGACAAAGGCUUAGUGUAUUGGGAUUUUUGUGUAAUCUGCAUUUGCUAGCAACGCCAGUUCUACGCUAAGGUUUUUGCUGACUUUGAUGUAUAUGGAGGGGCGGUAUGGCUAUCUUCUUGCUGUCUCAAGAGUAUAAAGGUAGAUAUUGUAGUUGGAACCCCUUGUCGGAUAAAGGAUCGUGUUGAAAGUCACAACAACAUCAACCUGAGCUUUUUAAAGUUCCGGGUUCUUGAUGAGGCUGAUGAAAAUGUCGAUAACGGGGUUCGUUGAGGACGUUGAACUCGUAAUGGUUUCUUCAGGGAAGGUGGAGGAUGCUUCUUUUCGGCGCGAGAUUUGGUGAAGAAUGUGCUUCUCUUCAAUAUAUGAUCUUACUCUAUUCUUGAACCAGCAUCACUCCGAUUGCCCGGUUGUAUUUUUGCUGUUCUUUUCCCUUCUAUAAUUCAUUUAGAAUUUCAAGGCCUGCUUGCUGGUUUCUUGAGCCGAGCAAGAAAAACCAUCGAUCUUGAUGGUAAAUGCGAAGAAGAAAGCCAGCACCAAUGUUUCUGUAAUAGAGAUGUAAUCUUUAUUACAGUCUUCUUACUUCACAUGUUCUGUCUGUUAUCGAGAGUGCAGUCCCGAAUCAUUUUUUUCUCCCUUUAAUCCCUCUUUUAAUCGAUGUUUUGUCGUUGCAGGUUACUCUUUCCAGGUUUAGGAAUGGGCAAGUUCUCAUCAAUGGUAGCACGUGGACUGUAUAUAUCAACAAUGUUCUCAAAAUUACAAUUCGCCUAUGGCGUACUGAGGAGAGUCUUGCCGGAAGAGAAGGUUGAGUCAAUAGAAGGGCAGAUGGAACGGAUGCUUCCACAAUCAGAUUCAGAUAUCUCUCCCAAGGUUGUAAUAAUUCGAUCACGCCUCAUCCUCUUUGUUAAUAUAUUCGUUAUAGAAUCCGAGAUUUUUGUUCUAUCUUUUGGGUAUAUAAUCGUCUGCUGAAUGAAUUAUUUGUUUUCGUUCAUUUUGAUUUUGGGUUAAA